RNAcentral lists this transfer RNA (67 nucleotides) under Girardia tigrina. RNAcentral's name for it is "tRNA-Ile". Lineage: Eukaryota; Metazoa; Platyhelminthes; Tricladida; Dugesiidae. RNAcentral also lists the same sequence under 1 other name. The record is from RNAcentral.
UAUGCUAGGGCUGCAAUUUGUAGGUUACUCUGAUAUAGUAAAUUGUAGGGUAAAACUCUCGGUAUUU